Molecule: unclassified non-coding RNA, 240 nt
Filed under: Glomus sp.
Lineage: Eukaryota; Fungi; Glomeromycota; Glomeromycetes; Glomerales; Glomeraceae
Description: partial contains 5.8S ribosomal RNA and internal transcribed spacer 2
Rfam family: 5.8S ribosomal RNA (bases 1-65)
Source: RNAcentral
GUGAAUCAUCAAAUUUUUGAACGCAAAUUGCACUCUCUUCGGAGAGUAUGCCUGUUUGAGGGUCAGCCUAUAAAAAAACGAUAUUGUUGCUGUUUUGUGGUGGCGUGCGUAGGAAAUUGGGUCAUUUUUAAUUUUUUGGUUUUAAGCGAGUUAAAGUCUUCUUUUUGGUUCUACGAAUGUUUCUAUGAUUUAUUUCUUUACACGUUUAAGGUAUCGCUUUUUAUUAGACGUGACAAUCAG